This 64-nucleotide small RNA is filed under the name Candidatus Protoclostridium gallicola. Its description in RNAcentral is "Streptococcus sRNA SpF59 (ldcC RNA)". It matches the Rfam family "Streptococcus sRNA SpF59 (ldcC RNA)". Lineage: Bacteria; Bacillati; Bacillota; Clostridia. The record is from RNAcentral.
GACCGCUCGCCGCGCGGCUCGCGCAGGCGGGAUAAGCCCAUACGGACAGGCGGGUCGGCUGCCG